CAGGAAUUCAUCCUAAUUUUGUAGAGGAUUCAAGUGUCAUGAAAAAAUUCCAAGUCUGUCCAGAGAAAAUAACAAUCGCUACCGGAUUGGGUGAACCACAGAGAAAAAUCGCUACCGGAUUGGGUGAACCGCAGAGAAAAAUCGCUACUGGAUCAGGCGAUUCGGGAGCCACACUGGGAACAAAAACUUUGCUUCAUCAUCGUGCAGCCAGGAUCUGCUGAGCGGAUGGCAUGUCACAGGAAAAAUUCAGUUUCUGCUGUUGGAAAUGGAGAAGUGAAUAAAUCUCAAUCUUGACUAUCGCAAUGCCAA
Pantherophis guttatus is the source of this 309-nucleotide non-coding RNA. Lineage: Eukaryota; Metazoa; Chordata; Lepidosauria; Squamata; Colubridae. The record is from RefSeq and is a predicted model, not a curated record.